GGAGAGAUGGCUGAGUGGUCGAAAGCGACGGUUUGCUAAACCGUUAUACCCUUAACCGGGUAUCGGGGGUUCGAAUCCCCCUCUCUCCGCCA
RNAcentral lists this transfer RNA (92 nucleotides) under Verrucomicrobiales bacterium. RNAcentral's name for it is "tRNA-Ser". It matches the Rfam family "tRNA". Rfam says of the family: Transfer RNA (tRNA) molecules are approximately 80 nucleotides in length. Their secondary structure includes four short double-helical elements and three loops (D, anti-codon, and T loops). Lineage: Bacteria; Pseudomonadati; Verrucomicrobiota; Verrucomicrobiia; Verrucomicrobiales. The record is from RNAcentral.